This 947-nucleotide non-coding RNA is filed under the name Oncorhynchus kisutch (coho salmon). Its description in RNAcentral is "12S ribosomal RNA". It matches the Rfam family "Bacterial small subunit ribosomal RNA". Lineage: Eukaryota; Metazoa; Chordata; Actinopteri; Salmoniformes; Salmonidae. The record is from RNAcentral.
CAAAGGCUUGGUCCUGACUUUACUAUCAGCUUUAACUGAACUUACACAUGCAAGUCUCCGCACUCCUGUGAGGAUGCCCUUAAUCCCCUGCCCGGGGACGAGGAGCCGGCAUCAGGCGCGCCCAGGCAGCCCACGACGCCUUGCUAAGCCACACCCCCAAGGAAACUCAGCAGUGAUAAAUAUUAAGCCAUAAGCGGAAGCUUGACUUAGUUAAGGUUAAGAGGGCCGGUAAAACUCGUGCCAGCCACCGCGGUUAUACGAGAGGCCCUAGUUGAUAACUACCGGCGUAAAGAGUGGUUAUGGAAAGAUAUUUAAUAAAGCCGAACACCCCCUCAGCCGUCAUACGCACCUGGGAGCACGAAGACCUACCGCGAAAGCAGCUUUAAUUACGCCUGACCCCACGACAGCUAAGAAACAAACUGGGAUUAGAUACCCCACUAUGCCUAGCCGUAAACUUUGAUAGAAAUAUACAAUUGAUAUCCGCCAGGGAACUACAAGCGCCAGCUUAAAACCCAAAGGACUUGGCGGUGCCUCAGACCCACCUAGAGGAGCCUGUUCUAGAACCGAUAACCCCCGUUCAACCUCACCACCUCUUGUUUUACCCGCCUAUAUACCACCGUCGUCAGCUUACCCUGUGAAGGCCCCAUAGUAAGCAAAAUGGACAAAACCCAAAACGUCAGGUCGAGGUGUAGCGCAUGGGGUGGGAAGAAAUGGGCUACAUUCUCUAAAUUAGAGUACUACGAACCACGCUGUGAAAUCAGCGUCCGAAGGUGGAUUUAGCAGUAAACAGAAAAUAGAGAGUUCUCUUGAAACUGGCUCUGAGGCGCGCACACACCGCCCGUCACUCUCCCCAAGUUCAACCUGUCCUUCUAACUAAGAAGUUAACCGAACAAAGGGGAGGCAAGUCGUAACAUGGUAAGUGUACCGGAAGGUGCGCUUGGAAUAAC